UUCUCCUGCCUCAGCCUCCGAGUAGCUGAGAUUACAGGUGUGCACCACUGUGCCCAGCUAGUUUUUUUAUUUUUAGUAGAGACGAGGUUUCACCAUGUCGGCCAGGCUGGUCUUGAACUCCUGACUUCAAGUGAUUUGCCCACCUCAGCCUCCCAAAGUGCUGGGAUUAAAGGUGUGUACUGCCACACCCAGCUCUUUUUAUUUUUUUGAACUUUUCUUGAAUCACUAUCUUCAGAGGGUGAUUUAAAUAGUUAAUUAACCAAUUAAUAACAAAUAGUUAUUCAUAUGAAUAAUGAGGUAAGUCAUUAAAUGAUUUAAAUAAUCAUUUUAAGACUUUCAGUGCAGGUGGGUGAGGACAUGGGCGCUUGUUUCAGAAACCCCUGUGGUAAGUGCCACCCAUUGCAGCCUUUCACAGGUGUCUUCUAAAUGGCACCUCACAUAAGCGUGCAAGGGAAGAAUGAGGGCCCUGCUUUAUAGAAGAAGAAAUGAGGUGUGGCGAAGCCUCUCUUAAGUGAUUGAGCUGAAAAACUGAACUCAUAUCUGUGCAGCUCCAAAGUCUAUGCUUUUUCAACUACACCAAACACCCUAAGUGCCCAAAACAAACCAAAGAACACUACUGUAUUUUGCAUCUACAUGUAAGUUGUAAAUCCAUUGAUCCUACCACUUUUUACUGUCCUUACCCCUACAUGUCCAUUUUUCCCUCCUCACCUUUACUAAAUCUUACAUCAUUAAAAUCUGCAGUGUAGAGUGCUUCCUCAUGUACAUUCUUGCCUAGUCCAUUUUGCGCUGCUAUAGCAUAAUACCCGAGAGUAGGUAAUUUAUAAUGAAUGGAAAUUUGUUUGACUCAUGCUUCUGGAGGCUGGGAAGUCCAAGAUCAAAAAGCUGCAUCUGGUGAGGGUAUUCUUACUGUGUUAUCCCAUGGUGGAAGGUGGAAGGACUAGAAACGACACAAGUGAGGAGAAGGAAAGGGGCUGAAUUCAUUCUUUUUUUUCUUUUUUUUAGACAGAGUCUCACUCUGUUGCCCAGGCUGGAGUGCAAUGGCAUGAUCUCAGCUCACUGCAACCUCCACCUCCCGGGUUCAAGUGAUUGAUCCACCUGCCUCAGCCUCCCACAGUGCUGGGAUUACAGCCGUGAGCCACCGCACCUGGCCUGAAUUCAUUAUUUUAUCAGGAGCCCACUCCUAUGAGAGUGACAUUACUCCAUCCAUGAGGGCCGAGCCCUCAUGACCCAAUCACCUCUCAAAGCUCCUGCCUCUCAAUGCUGUUGCAUUGGGGAUCAAAUUUCCAACAUAUGAACUUUGGGGAACAGAUUCAAACCUCAGUAUCUCUAAACUCUCUUUUCUCUCUCUUAACUAGUCAGUCUUACUUGCCAAGCAUCCACCUCUGGUAAAACCCAGAUCUCCACCCAUCUUAAACCCAUGCCCAGGCCACUGACCGUGGCUGGAGAAAAGUACAUGCUGGAUGAUAUAUGCUCCAGUGGUCCUCAACCUUCUCCAGACAUCCUUUGAAGUGCCCCUGGGCCUUCCCUCCUACUGUGUGCUUUCCUCCAACCUCACACCCUACUCCCAGCUCCUUCCUCUCAAGUGGUACCAAUGCUUCCUGUUUCCCCUAAAGCCCUCCAAAGAGAGCACCCGAGCUCCCCUGCCCUUCUGCCUUUACAGAACAGUCCCACUCCUGUGUAAGGACUACAGUCAUGUCCUCCCCCACCCACUCACCUAGCCCUGGCCUUUCUCCCUCUCUCCUGCAUCAUCAAUUCCUCUCUCUACUGAUUCAUUCAAACACAAGGUUCCCUCUCAACCCCAUCUUCAUGCCGCUACCACCCCAUUUCUUUCCUUCUUUAUAAAGAAGUUUAAACUUCUUAAGAGAGUCAUCUGUAUUCUCCACCCCUAAUUCCUUCCUUCUCAGUCCCUCAUCAAUCCCCUGUAAUAGGACAUUCGCCCUCACCCCUCACCAAAACUGAUCUUGUCACCACUGGCGUCACAUUACCAAACCCAGCGGCCAAUGCUCAGCCCUGCUCCUUCCUGGCCUGUUGGCAUUGGACUAAGCUGAUCCUUCCCUCUGCUUGGAAACACUUUAUUCUCUUGGCUUCUGGCACUUCCCUUUCCCAGGUAUUCCUGGGCCUCACAGGUGGCUCUUUUUCAGUCUUCUCUUCUGGUUCCUCCAUAUCUCCCCAACUUGUGAAUGUUGUAGUACCCCAGAGAUUAUCCUUUGUCUUUCCUUUUUAAUCAACUAUCCUCUCUUGGUGAGCUCAGUCAAUCUACAGCUUUAAACACAUCUAAACACUGCAAACUCUCACAUUUCCCUCUGCAGGCCAGAUGUCUUCUCUGAACUCCAAAGUCAGAGAUGUAUCUGCUUAUUCAACACCUUCACAUACGUAUCUAAUAGACAUCUCAAAAGUGAUACAUCCGAAGUUGAACUGCAUCCAUGAAAGUCCCCUUUUCCCCUCCAAGCCUGCCUUACAUCCCUGCCUUACCUCCAUCCCAGUUACCAGACAUUUCUGUGGUCCAAUUCUUUAGUCCCAAAACCUUGCUGUCACUAAAGUCAGUGGGGUUUCCUCAAACCCCACAUCCAAGCCAUCCACAAUUCACAUCUCCUUUUCCUUUAAAGUAUAUCCAGAAUCUGAUUACUCCUGAGCACUGCUACCAUCCUGCUAUGCACCAUUAUCCUGUCUCUCCUGGAUUAUUGCAAGCACCUCUGACUGGUGGGCUCUGCUUCUGCCUGUGCACCCAGCAGUCUAUUCCCUAUACAGCAGCUAUAGCAAACCUGUUAAAACUCAAGUCAGGUAGAUGAUACUCCUUUGCUGAAAAUCCUCUGAUGACCAGACUGAAAGCCAAAGUCCUUAAAAUGAUGUGGGAUGCCCGCAUGAUCUGGCCCCUGUCCCCUGUUGGUCCUCAGUUCCUCCUACUCUUCCCCUUACUCUCUCUGCCACAGUGACCCUUUCUGUUCCUUGAGCAUACCAGGCAUGUUUCCGCCCCAGGGCCUUUGCACUGGCUGUCUCUCUGCAUAGGAGCACCUCUCAGCUAUGAAUAUGGCUCACUCCUUCAAGUCUUUGGUUGAAUAUUACUUUCUCAGUGAGGCCUUUCCUGAGAAACGUAUUUGGAAUUAUAGCACCUUAUAUUUCCAAAUUCUGUUUUCCUGGUUUUAUUUUUCUCUAUAGCAUUUAUCAUCAUCAGUAUACUAUAUUUAUCAUUUUGUUGACUGUCUCCCCUAUUAGAAGAUAAGUCCCUUGAAUGGAGGGAAUUUGACUGGUUUGUUUGGUACUGUAUCCUCAGAGCCUAGAGCUGUGCCUGGCACAUAGUAAGUGCUCAGUAAGUAUUUGUUGGAUGAAUGAAUACUCAGCCCAAUUCUCUGAGAUGCCCACAUCCUUUCUUGGUAAGAAGUCAGCUGUUUCAGAAGCCCCCAGUGUCUUUCAGGUUAGAGUGGCAAAAAGUCUAAUGGUUAGUAUUCUCUGCCCCUUGGGCCUUGUAUUUAUAAUAGUGCCAGGCCUGAACUCUAGUGAACCUUAAACUCCAGACUAGGCUUGAUCCACUUUCUCCCACCUUCCAGGCAUGUGCAUAAACUCAAGGAUCAGAAGUAAAAUCAAAGAGACAGCCCUACUCCAAACCACCUGCCUGUUCAGGGUCCUUCCAGUUGUUAUUCUUCUCUGUCUUCCUUGAACUUGUCAUCUGGCUUUCCUAGGAAGGAGAGUAUGGCCAUCCAUCAGUGCCCUGGGCCGGCCCAUUCCUUGGACCAAAUCCUACCAGCAAGCAGAAGAAUGGCAGCUGCUACCCAGCUCACCCCACAGGCAGGGCCUGUGUCAUGGAGCUCAAGAACCAGGAGUUCUCAGUAACACAAUGGAAAUGAUGGUACCCAGCUCACCGGCUCUGAUUCUCUCUUAAUUUCCAAUACAACCAGAAUCUGGGGAUGGGAAAGGAGGAAACAGAAGAGGAAGGGCUAAGGAUGAAGCUAAGGAAAUAGGAUUUCCCCUUUCCCUAGGGAUGCCAUCAACUGUGUCUCCAGGAGAUUUAAAGGGCAGGGAACAUCACACACCGGGGCUUGUUGUGGGGUGGGGGG
This 4052-nucleotide long non-coding RNA is filed under the name Homo sapiens (human). Its description in RNAcentral is "HSALNT0201025". The record is from RNAcentral. Lineage: Eukaryota; Metazoa; Chordata; Mammalia; Primates; Hominidae.